Osmia bicornis bicornis is the source of this 650-nucleotide long non-coding RNA. RefSeq lists it as uncharacterized. The transcript is spliced from 3 exons. Lineage: Eukaryota; Metazoa; Arthropoda; Insecta; Hymenoptera; Megachilidae. The record is from RefSeq and is a predicted model, not a curated record.
CAGUUAGCAAUAAUGAUAGCAAAUAACACUUUCAUCCAAGCAAUCACUUAUUACAUUAUCCACAAAAGCAUCGGUCACACGAUGACCAUCCUGACAGUAUGACCGAUUGUUUCAGCCUUUGAAAAGAUUAAUAAGCAUUUCAGGUGAGCUAAGCAUUUAUCUUGGUGAUACACGUGGUAAUUGUGACGUGAAAGCAUCGGUGUUUCGCAGUGCUUUUCAACAUCAACGGGUGUUUGAAUAUUUUGAAGAAAGAACAAAAUUUCGGUGCUUAUAAAUAAUGUAGAAAUGAAAAUUGUGCUGAACGUGUGCUAGUUACCUAAAAAUCUUGAAAACCAGUGGACUACAUCACAGAAUUUAAUUAGUCUUUACUGACCAAAGGGUGGACGGUCAAUCGAAUUUAGCACGUCUAUAUCCCGACGCUAACGUCGGAGUUUCCUGUCUAUAGCAGAUUCGUGAUCUCGUCGAGAUUUGGGUCAGGAAGCUAUUACUUCGACGACUUUGAGACAAGGAAUCCAUGGUGGACUUGAACAAAUUGUCUCGGGUUCGAUGUAUUAAUUAAGUGGAUUCAGUCGGAGCUAAAGAAAAAUUACAUAAAGGAACAAACACCAUCAGACAUGUACAGAAUAUGUAUUAUGAUCGGCGAAGAUAAA